This 164-nucleotide small nuclear RNA is filed under the name Nipponia nippon (crested ibis). RNAcentral describes it as "U1 spliceosomal RNA". It matches the Rfam family "U1 spliceosomal RNA". Rfam says of the family: U1 is a small nuclear RNA (snRNA) component of the spliceosome (involved in pre-mRNA splicing). Its 5' end forms complementary base pairs with the 5' splice junction, thus defining the 5' donor site of an intron. The record is from Rfam by way of RNAcentral. Lineage: Eukaryota; Metazoa; Chordata; Aves; Pelecaniformes; Threskiornithidae.
AUACUUACCUGGCAGGGGAGACACCAUGAUCAGGCAGGUGGUUUUCCCAGGGUGAGGCUCAUCCCCUGCACUCCGGGCAUGCUGACCCCUGCGAUUACCCCAAAUGCAGGAGACCCGACUGCAUAAUUUGCGGUAGUGGGGGACUGCGUUUGCGCUCUCCCCUG